CCCCGUCUUUCCUUUCCUUGCACACAAAACCAAGGGGAGAGAUUUGCGGAGCACUGCAGUUGAAGAGAACUUUGCUUCUGGUGGUGAGUCUAUCAAAGAUGCAUCAGAACUGAAUAUUGGCUUCUCAUCGUGGCGUCAGUGGGACUGAAGAGAAAGGAUUUGGAGUUUCAAGGCAAACACAAGGGUGACUCCCAGCUCAACCAGCAGCACGUAGCCAGGGAAGUUGUUUUGGCAACAGUUGGAAUCAUGUUUUCUGCCUUUUAUGUCCCUCAUAGUGCCAGAAUGUGGAGAACAUGAACAGGUAAUUUCAAGAGGAAGAAGAAGGUAUAACUGACAUUUGGGUCACUUAUGGCAUUUUUCAGUAGUUUCAGCUAUAUCCCAUGUAUGGAAUAAA
This is a long non-coding RNA of Zalophus californianus (California sea lion), 394 nucleotides long. RefSeq lists it as uncharacterized. Lineage: Eukaryota; Metazoa; Chordata; Mammalia; Carnivora; Otariidae. The transcript has 3 exons. The record is from RefSeq and is a predicted model, not a curated record.